GAGAGUAUAGCUCAGUGGUAGAGCGCAUGCUUAGCAUGCACGAGGUCCUGGGUUCAAUCCCCAGUACCUCCA
Molecule: transfer RNA, 72 nt
Filed under: Camelus bactrianus (Bactrian camel)
Lineage: Eukaryota; Metazoa; Chordata; Mammalia; Artiodactyla; Camelidae
Also listed under: 1 other name
Rfam family: tRNA
About the family: Transfer RNA (tRNA) molecules are approximately 80 nucleotides in length. Their secondary structure includes four short double-helical elements and three loops (D, anti-codon, and T loops).
Source: Rfam by way of RNAcentral